GGCAGGGAGACACUGCCAACUGCCAGCUGCCGCCAUGACCAGCAGCAUGUGAAGACACCGAAGACCUGGGUUUGGUUCCUAACACCCGCAUGGUAACUCCCAAUCAUCCAUAACUCCAGUUCCAGGGAGUCUGGUGUCUUCUUUUGACCUUCAUAGAAACCAAGCAUGCACUUGGUACACUUACGUACAUGCAGUGAUAAAGAUUGAACCCAAGGCUCUUUUUCUGUUAGGCAAACGCUCUGCCACUGAACUGCACCCUCAGUCCGAUGGUUGAAUUCAAAAGCUUAUGCCAAAUAGGAGAGAACUGCUUUGGAAUGCAAAAGCACCUGUUGAAACUUGUAAAAAGAAAGUGCAAGAUCUGAUGGAAGCCUAAAGAGAAUCCUUGUUCCGUGCUCAGGUCUUGCUACCCAGUUAGUGUCUCUGAAGCAGCUGCUGUACACUGACCAAGUAGAUGAAACCAGAAAUCCCUGAAAGGUGACCUAUGGGACGGUGACAGCAGAGCCCAGGCAUCAGAUCAAGAGCGGAAAAGCGGGUGGCUGAGUCCUCAAUCUAGAAGUUGAUCUCAACUAUCUGAUCCUAGACUUUCGUCAGUAUCCUUAUAUGGUAAACCCAGUUAGGGAUCACAGAGCCAGGAGGAACAGGAUAAAGGGAGCCUGACUCAUUGUCGUCGUCAUCAUGUUUUCCUUCUCACGAAGGAUGGGGUAGUGGCCACCAUAUUGAUGCUUGCCUAUGCUCAGAUCUGAAGUGGUUCCCAAUCUUUAAUAUACUGCCCGAAAAGGCAAGAAAAACAAAUACCCAAACCAAGAGUGAAACUUCAGACAGAGGGCUGCAGGAUGUGAGGGCCUCCGGAGAUGAUCUAGUCUGACCAUGUAAAAUGUGCCACAAAUGCGCUUGGGAAAUAGUCACCCCAACAGCAGUUUAAAAACCCCAAGA
Non-coding RNA from Peromyscus maniculatus bairdii (prairie deer mouse), 933 nucleotides. The record is from RefSeq and is a predicted model, not a curated record. Lineage: Eukaryota; Metazoa; Chordata; Mammalia; Rodentia; Cricetidae.